RNAcentral lists this ribosomal RNA (483 nucleotides) under uncultured bacterium. RNAcentral describes it as "partial 16S ribosomal RNA". It matches the Rfam family "Bacterial small subunit ribosomal RNA", at positions 28 to 507 of the family's 1533-position model. The record is from RNAcentral.
GACGAACGCUGGCGGCGUGCUUAACACAUGCAAGUCGAACGCUGAAGCUCAGCUUUUGUUGGGUGGAUGAGUGGCGAACGGGUGAGUAACACGUGAGUAACCUGCCCCCUUCUUUGGGAUAACGCCCGGAAACGGGUGCUAAUACUGGAUAUUCACUGGUCUUCGCAUGGGGGUUGGUGGAAAGGGUUUUUCUGGUGGGGGAUGGGCUCGCGGCCUAUCAGCUUGUUGGUGGGGUGAUGGCCUACCAAGGCUUUGACGGGUAGCCGGCCUGAGAGGGUGACCGGUAACAUUGGGACGGAGAAGCGGCCCAGACGCGUACGGGGGGCAGCAGUGGGGAAUAUUGCACAAUGGGCGAAAGCCUGAUGCAGCGACGCUGCGUGAGGGAUGGAGGCCUUCGAGUUGUGAACCUCUGUCGCACAUGGUCAAGCCGCAACAAUGGUUGUGGUGAGGGUAGUGGGUAAAGAAGCGCCGGCUAACUACGUG